CCUACGGGGUGCAGCAGUGGAGAAUAUUGGGCAAUGGGCGCAAGCCUGACCCAGCAACGCCGCGUGAAGGAAGAAGGCUUUCGGGUUGUAAACUUCUUUUGUCAGGGAAGAGUAGAAGACGGUACCUGACGAAUAAGCCACGGCUAACUACGUGCCAGCAGCCGCGGUAAUACGUAGGUGGCAAGCGUUGUCCGGAUUUACUGGGUGUAAAGGGCGUGUAGCCGGGUUGACAAGUCAGAUGUGAAAUCCUGCGGCUUAACCGCAGAACUGCAUUUGAAACUGUUGAUCUUGAGUACUGGAGAGGCAGACGGAAUUCCUAGUGUAGCGGUGAAAUGCGUAGAUAUUAGGAGGAACACCAGUGGCGAAGGCGGUCUGCUGGACAGCAACUGACGGUGAGGCGCGAAAGCGUGGGGAGCAAACAGGAUUAGAUACCCCAGUAGUC
This 442-nucleotide ribosomal RNA is filed under the name uncultured bacterium. RNAcentral describes it as "partial 16S ribosomal RNA". It matches the Rfam family "Bacterial small subunit ribosomal RNA", at positions 338 to 795 of the family's 1533-position model. The record is from RNAcentral.